GAUGAACGCUGGCGGCGUGCCUAAUACAUGCAAGUCGAACGGACAGGCGAUGAUCUUGCGGCGCUCUCGUUAGCCGCACGGGUGUGUAAAACGCGUGUAACACGUCCCUGUAUUAGGGGUAACUUCUCGAAAAUGGGGCUAUUAUAGCAUAGGAGAUAUUGAUCCACGUGGGGGGAUGGUAAGUUUCGGCGGUGGUGGAUGGACUAGAGGGUUACCAGCUUGAUUGUGGGGUAGUGGCUUACAAAGCUUUCGAAGGCUAGCCGGCCUGCGCGGGUGACCAGCGACAAUGGUACUGAGGGAGGGCCCAGACGCCAACGGGAGGCAGCAGUGGAGAAUAUUACGCAAUGGGCGGAAGCCAGAGGCAACGGCGCCGCGUGCGGAAUGACGGCUUACGGGUUGUAAACCACUUUCGCCUGUGACGAAGCGUGAGUGACGGUAAUGAGUAAAGAAGCACCGGCUAACUACGUG
RNAcentral lists this ribosomal RNA (468 nucleotides) under uncultured bacterium. RNAcentral describes it as "partial 16S ribosomal RNA". It matches the Rfam family "Bacterial small subunit ribosomal RNA", at positions 28 to 507 of the family's 1533-position model. The record is from RNAcentral.